Manduca sexta (tobacco hornworm) is the source of this 249-nucleotide long non-coding RNA. RefSeq lists it as uncharacterized. The transcript has 2 exons. The record is from RefSeq and is a predicted model, not a curated record. Lineage: Eukaryota; Metazoa; Arthropoda; Insecta; Lepidoptera; Sphingidae.
UGCUGGUCUGUUUCUGGGCGCAAGCUUCAUCAGCCUCGUAGAGAUCAUGUACUUCGGACUGGAGAGGGUGUUUAAGAAAGUAUUCCAGAAACCAGAGAAGAAGACUCACCAGGCGAAAAAGCCAAGGAAUUCAUACGAAGCCACAAGAGUAUUAGAGCUAACAAAAAUUCUAGAAGAAAACAGAGGAUAUGAACUGAAUACUAAGAUAAAGGUGUUUAAAUAUUAAAUAAAUAUAUACUAUUAUAUAAA